AGGGGUUUAGUUAAAUGGCAUAACAGGAGCCUCCAAAACUCAAGUCGAAGGUUCGAUUCCUUCAGCCCCUGCCA
RNAcentral lists this transfer RNA (74 nucleotides) under Candidatus Saccharimonadota bacterium. Its description in RNAcentral is "tRNA-Trp". It matches the Rfam family "tRNA". Rfam says of the family: Transfer RNA (tRNA) molecules are approximately 80 nucleotides in length. The record is from RNAcentral. Lineage: Bacteria; Candidatus Saccharimonadota.